Molecule: unclassified non-coding RNA, 231 nt
Filed under: Glomeraceae sp.
Lineage: Eukaryota; Fungi; Glomeromycota; Glomeromycetes; Glomerales; Glomeraceae
Description: partial contains 5.8S ribosomal RNA and internal transcribed spacer 2
Rfam family: 5.8S ribosomal RNA (bases 1-72)
Source: RNAcentral
GUGAAUCAUCAAAUUUUUGAACGCAAAUUGCACUCUCCGGUUUUCCGGGGAAGUAUGCCUGUUUAAGGGUCUGCCUAAAAAAAAUCGACAUUGUUGCUUUGUUAUGAUGACUUUCGUCGGAGAUGGGUUAUCUUAUAUCUCGGAAUAAGCGACUUAAAAUUUUUUUUUACGAUUCUAAGAAUGUUUUUAAGAUUCUUCUUGUACGUUAAGGGUAUAGAAUGUCUUAUUAGA